Molecule: long non-coding RNA, 224 nt
Filed under: Trifolium pratense (red clover)
Lineage: Eukaryota; Viridiplantae; Streptophyta; Magnoliopsida; Fabales; Fabaceae
Description: long non-coding RNA (TPRA_LNC007285)
Source: RNAcentral
GGAUAAUAAAAUUAAAACGACUCGAAGUCGGGGAUAAAAUAUAAAAUAGCGGUUUUAGAUAUUACAUACUUCAAAAACAUUGCUAAUUAGCAUAAACCUCGCUUAAUAAAAAUUGUUUUCUAAAAUAAGAAUACAAGUACAAGACUCGAUAAACCAUUUCCCGUGUCAUAAUCAGAGCGGAGUUUCACCGAUAACUCGACCACAAACUCAUAACCUGAGAAACC